CUUUGGUGGCCCCUGUGAAAGGGUUCUUUGCUACCCUCAAAGGGGUUGAGAACCACUGCAGUAGAGGAAGGCCAGAUUCAAGGAUCCUGGGCUCUUGCCAUUCCUCACUCAUGUAGCAGUGACCUUGGUUGGCAUCUCCUCAAAGAAGGAACAGUGGCUGAUCUUUUGACCUCUUGAUAUCCUUAGAAGACUUAACCUUCCUAGCUUCUUUAAGGGCCUUGUAUAGGGGCUGAAGAAAUUACCCAGCAAUUAAGAACACAUUCUGUUCUGGUAGGGGACUCAAGUUUAGUUUCCAGCAUCCAGAUCAAGUGGCUCACAACCACCUGUCACCCCAGCUCCAGGAGAUGCAAAGCCUCAGUUCGUUCUCUCUCUCUCUCUCUCUCUCUCUCUCUCUCUCUCUCUCUCUCUCUCUCUCUUUUCUCAAUAAUGAAAAGGCCUUUCUAUUCAACCACAUGCAGAGUGGCCCACAAAGCCUCAUCCUGGUGUUAGUCCUUCGAAUCCCACAAAAAGAGAGCACAGCAUUGGGUAGGGCUAAUCCAGUAAGACAGCCUCAAAGAUGACUUUGAUGGCUUAAGAUGAUACCUUUGAGGGCACAAUGCAAGUGCAUCUCUAGAACCUUCUAUUCUAGAACCUACACCCAGUCCUCUGGAGUCUUUACUCCCCAAUCAGUCCAGAGCUGUAGUAGGCUCCUCCUGAGGCUCUCGAUCUUACUCUCUUAGCCUAAAACCCAUUAAGUCUUUAGAAACUUUUUCUUCAAGGGGCAGCAGGUCUCUCCUGGCCUUCUGCUUCCCCAGGCCCUUACCCUCUGAAACAAGUUAGACUUCAGCUGUGUCCUUUCCCCUGGCCGACGGGCAGUAAACUGGCCCACCAAGUCCAGUUCUGUGGCACCCUGCCUUCCAUGAGGAGCAACAGCCGGCGCAAGGAGGACCAGAGGGUGUUCAUAGAGCAGGUUCGAGAAUGCAUGAACAAUGGUUACUUGCUCUCCUCCAAGAAGAUCGGAUCUGGUGCUUUCUCCAAGGUCUACCUGGCCUAUGCAACACGUGAACGCAUGAAGCACAACCCUAGGCUAUCCUCUGACUUGCGGGGCAAGCACCACAGUAUGGUGGCUAUUAAGAUUGUGUCCAUGGCGGAAGCCCCAGCGGAGUACUCCAGAAAGUUCCUGCCCCGUGAGAUUUUAUCCCUCAACGCCACCUACAAGCACAUGAACAUAGUUCAGCUGUAUGAGACCUACCAAAACAGCCAGCGCUCCUACCUGGUACUGGAGUUGGCAGCUAGAGGUGACCUGUUGGAGUACAUUAAUGCAGUGUCAGACCUCCGAUGUUGCCCAGGGCUGGAGGAGGAAGAGGCCCGAAGGCUGUUCUGGCAACUGGUCAGCGCUGUGGCCCACUGCCACAGUGUUGGCAUUGUUCAUAGGGACUUGAAAUGUGAAAAUAUCCUGUUGGAUGACCAGGGCUUCCUAAAGCUGACAGAUUUUGGCUUUGCCAACUGGGUGGGGAUCAAGAACUCCCUGCUGAGCACCUUCUGUGGCUCUGUGGCCUAUACGGCCCCAGAGAUCCUCAUGAGCAAGAAAUACAACGGCCCAGGCUGUCCCCAGGUGAGCAUCACCACACCAUGCUCCUUCCAAGGCCCAGCUCGAGCCUGGAGGGCAGCCAGAGAGACCAGGACGACGGCAAAGAGAACAUGGUAUCACACUUCCCCGAUAUGCUGGAAAAGCAUGGCCCACGCACUGUAUGUUGGGGAAGUUGAGCUGAGGUUGGGAUGGUCUUGAAGGAUACCAGCCCUACUGAAUAUCUAACAUGGCACUUGCUCUAACAUGGCAGAGCCUCCUCUGUGCCUCAGUCCCCUUUUGAUAAUAGCCCUGAACCUUUGAUUCCUCUUAAGUUGCCAACAUUUCUGACAGUAGUUGAAUGUGGGUCAGGAUUGUGGCAGGCUCCAGCAGUGAGCCCUCCCCUGUAGAGUGCCGGGACCUGAUCAGAGGGCUGCUUCAGCUGCAUCCGGGUGACCGCCUGGACCUACAGCAGGUGGCUGCUCACUGCUGGAUGCUGCCUGCAGAGCACAUGCUGUCCUCUGUACUUGGAGCUACCCGAGAACAGAAGCAUUCCUGG
Molecule: non-coding RNA, 2105 nt
Organism: Rattus norvegicus (Norway rat)
Lineage: Eukaryota; Metazoa; Chordata; Mammalia; Rodentia; Muridae
Source: RefSeq, a predicted model, not a curated record